CAGCCGCCGCGGUAAUACCGGCGGCCCGAGUGGCGGUCACUAUUAUUGGGCUUAAAGCGUCCGUAGCCGGGUUGGGAAGGCCUCCGGGAAAUCUGGCCGCUUAACGGUCAGAAUGCCGGAGGAUACUCCCAGCCUAGGGAGCGGGAGAGGCCGAGGGUAUUCCCGGAGUAGGGGUGAAAUCCUAUAAUCCCGGGAGGACCACCUGUGGCGAAGGCGCUCGGCUGGAACGCGUCCGACGGUGAGGGACGAAGGCCAGGGGAGCAAACCGGAUUAGAUACCCGGGUAGUCCUGGCUGUAAACGAUGCGGACUUUGUGUCGGACAAGCUAUGAGCUUGUCCGGUGCCGGAGGGAAACCGUUAAGUCCGCCGCCUGGGGAGUACGGCCGCAAGGCUGAAACUUAAAGGAAUUGGCGGG
This 414-nucleotide ribosomal RNA is filed under the name uncultured microorganism. Its description in RNAcentral is "bacterial SSU rRNA". It matches the Rfam family "Archaeal small subunit ribosomal RNA", at positions 459 to 872 of the family's 1478-position model. The record is from RNAcentral.